AUGGCGCAUGUAGCCGGUUUGCUCGCCUCGGCUGUGGUCUCAGCGGUGGGCAAUAAGCUGGGUUCUGCCAUUGGGGAUGAGGUCACGAUGCUGUGCAACUUCAAGGACGACCUCAAGGACAUGAAGGACACAUUGCAGUACAUGGAGGCGGCGCUCAAGGAUGCUGAGAGGCGGUCUGUCUCGGAGGAGUUGGUGCGGCUGUGGCUCAACCAGCUCAAGAACGCUGCCUACGACAUCUCUUACAUGCUCGAUGAGUUCCAAGCUAACAGUGAACCAGCCUCCAGAAAGAUGAUUGGGAAGCUGGACUGUUUUGCUAUUGCACCCAAGAUUACCAUGGCUUAUAAGAUGAAGAAGAUGAGAGGUCAGCUGAGGAAGAUCAAAGAGGAUCAUGAGAGUUUCAAAUUCACAUAUGAUAAUUCCAGCCUAAUAAAUGUGCACCAGUUUCCUGAUCCACGGGAAACAACGUCAAAUGUCAUUGAAUCACUCAUCAUAGGGAGAGACAGAGACAUGAUGAAUGCUCUUUCUUUGUUAUCCAAAAACGACAACAACAAAGAAGAUACCAUAGUUCUUCCUAUUUGUGGGCUUGGAGGCAUAGGAAAGACAACUUUGGCACAACUGGUCUUCAAUGAUGCUAAGUUCAAAGAUUAUGAUCAUCGGGUAUGGGUCUAUGUAUCCCAGGUGUUUGACUUGAAAAAAAUAGGGAACUCCAUAAUUUCUCAACUACUGGAAAAAGGAAGCGAGAAUCUUGAUACACUGCAGUUGAUAAGCCAACACCUUAAACAUCUACUUGAAGAUAAGAAGACUCUGCUUGUUUUAGAUGACCUUUGGGAGGCAGAUAACUCCCAACUGAAUCAACUCAAGCUUAUGUUGAAUGUAAGCUCCAAGAUGCAAGUCUUAGUCACAACACGCAACAUAGACAUUGCAAGAAAAUUUUGUACUGUUGAACCAUACAUGUUAGAUCUCUUGGACAAUGACAUGUGCUGGAGAAUAAUCAAGCAAAAUAGUGGCUUUGAGUCUAGAUCUGAUAAAGAGCAAGUUGAACCAGUUGGACAGAAGAUUGCAAGGAAAUGUGGAGGUUUGCCAUUAGCAGCUCAAGCACUUGGAUUCUUGCUAUCUGGAAUGGAUCUUAGUGACUGGAAAGCAAUGUGCAAUAGUGAUAUUUGGGACGAACCAUUUUCUGAUAGUACAGUGUUACCAUCCUUGAAGUUAAGUUACAAUACUUUGACACCAUAUUUGAGGUUAUGCUUUGCAUAUUGUGGCAUCUUUCCUAAAGGUCACAAUAUAAGUAAAGAUGCUCUUAUCCAGCAAUGGAUUUCUCUGGGUUUCAUCGAGCCAUCUAAUAAUUUUUCGGCCAUACAACUUGGCGAGAAGUAUGUUAGGCAAUUCCUUGGGAUGUCUUUUCUUCAGCAUUCAAAAUGGUGCAUGCCAUAUGCAAAAACAAUCUUCACCAUGCACGAUCUGGUGCAUGAUCUCGCAAGAUCGGUCAUUACUGAAGAGUUGGUUGUCUUUGAUACUGAAAUAGCGAGCGGUGCUAGAAGAAAAGAAUACUGCCGCUAUGCGUCUCUUACAAAUUGCAAUAUUUCAGAUUACCUCAAGGCGAGGAAGAUGUCAACUAUUUUCCCACCUAAGUUAAGGGCGAUGCAUUUUACAGAUUGUGAAUAUCAUGGUGGUGCAUUUUCAUUUCCAAAGUGCUUGCGUGUCUUGGAUCUAUCUGGAUGCUCCAUCACAGAGUUUCCAAGCGCUCUAGGACAACUGAAGCAACUGGAGUUUCUUAUUGCUCCGAAGCUGCAAGAUCGGCAAUUUCCCGAGAGUAUUACUCGGCUCUCAAAACUACGUUACCUAAACCUCAAUGGACCAAAUAAAAUUUCUGCAAUACCAAGCUCAGUUGGCAAACUUGGGAGUCUAGCGCAUCUUGACUUAUCUUAUUGUACCAGUGUCGAAGUCAUACCAGAGACUCUUGGAAGCCUACAAAACCUUCAAACGCUCGACCUCUCAGGUUGCGUUCAACUAGAGUCCCUUCCGGAGAGCCUUGGAAGCCUCAAAAACCUUCAAACACUCAACCUCUCACGGUGCCAAAAACUAGAGUCCCUUCCGGAGAGCCUUGGAAACCUCAAAAACCUUCAAACACUCGACCUCUCAUUCUGCAAGAAACUAAAGUCGCUUCGAAAGAGCAUUGGAAGCCUCCAAAACCUUCAAACACUCCACCUCUCACACUGCUUUCAUCUAAAAUCCCUUCCGAAGAGCCUUGGAAGCCUGCAAAACCUUCAAACACUCAACCCCUCAAUGUGCAUUAAUCUAAAGUCCCUUCCAAUGAGCCUUGGAAGGCUAAAAAACCUUCANNNNNUCGACCUAACAUACUGCCAGAAACUAGAGUCCCUUCCGAAGAGCCUUGGAAGCCUCAAAAACCUUCAAACACUCAACCUCAAGAAUUGCGUUCAACUAGAGUCCCUUCCGGAGAGCCUUGGAAGCCUCAAAAACCUUCAAACACUCAACCUCUCACGGUGCCAGAAACUAGAGUCCCUUCCGGAGAGCCUUGGAAGCCUCAAAAACCUUCAAACGCUUACACUCUCAGGCUGCUAUAGGAUAAUGUCCCUUCCGAAGAGCCUUGAAAACCUGAAAAUCAUUGGAAGAGAUUGA
Molecule: ribosomal RNA, 2637 nt
Filed under: Triticum aestivum (bread wheat)
Lineage: Eukaryota; Viridiplantae; Streptophyta; Magnoliopsida; Poales; Poaceae
Description: partial small subunit ribosomal RNA
Source: RNAcentral